GACGAACGCUGGCGGCGUGCUUAACACAUGCAAGUCGAACGGAAAGGCCCUGCUUUUGUGGGGUGCUCGAGUGGCGAACGGGUGAGUAACACGUGAGUAACCUGCCCUUGACUUUGGGAUAACUUCAGGAAACUGGGGCUAAUACCGGAUAGGAGCUCCUGCUGCAUGGUGGGGGUUGGAAAGUUUCGGCGGAUGGGGAUGGACGCGCGGCUUAUCAGCUUGUUGGUGGGGUAGUGGCUUACCAAGGCUUUGACGGGUAGCCGGCCUGAGAGGGUGACCGGCCACAUUGGGACUGAGAUACGGCCCAGACUCCUACGGGAGGCAGAAGUGGGGAAUAUUGCACAAUGGGCGGAAGCCUGAUGCAGCAACGCCGCGUGCGGGAUGACGGCCUUCGGGUUGUAAACCGCUUUCGCCUGUGACGAAGCGUGAGUGACGGUAAUGGGUAAAGAAGCACCGGCUAACUACGUG
Molecule: ribosomal RNA, 468 nt
Filed under: uncultured bacterium
Lineage: Bacteria
Description: partial 16S ribosomal RNA
Rfam family: Bacterial small subunit ribosomal RNA
Source: RNAcentral